This 253-nucleotide ribosomal RNA is filed under the name uncultured bacterium. RNAcentral's name for it is "partial 16S ribosomal RNA". It matches the Rfam family "Bacterial small subunit ribosomal RNA", at positions 524 to 776 of the family's 1533-position model. The record is from RNAcentral.
UACGAAGGGGGCGAGCGUUGUUCGGAAUUACUGGGCGUAAAGGGCGCGCAGGCGGCUCUGAAAGUCAGAUGUGAAAGCCCCGGGCUUAACCUGGGAAUUGCAUUUGUGACUGUAGAGCUAGAGUACGGCAGAGGGGGAUGGAAUUCCGCGUGUAGCAGUGAAAUGCGUAGAUAUGCGGAGGAACACCGAUGGCGAAGGCAAUCCCCUGGGCCUGUACUGACGCUCAUGCACGAAAGCGUGGGGAGCAAACAGG